ACGUAACCCUGAACUUCAGAGGAAACAAGAACCCGUCCCUGCUGGGGAUCCUCUAUGGGAAGAAGUACGAGGCGGACAUGUGCGUGAGGAGAUUUCCUCUGGAAGACAUCCCGCUGGAUGAAAAGGAAGCAGCUCAGUGGCUUCAUAAACUGUACCAGGAGAAGGACGCGCUCCAGGAGAUAUAUAAUCAGAAGGGCAUGUUUCCAGGGGAGCAGUUUAAGCCUGCCCGGAGGCCGUGGACCCUCCUGAACUUCCUGUCCUGGGCCACCAUUCUCCUCUCUCCCCUCUUCAGUUUUGUCUUGGGCGUCUUUGCCAGCGGGUCACCUCUCCUGAUCCUGACUUUCUUGGGGUUUGUGGGAGCAGGUAAUGGACACUGUCGCUAACAGCUCAUACUCUGACGGGCCUCACAGUAUCGGCCACAGGGUCCAGGACCCGGUGACUCAUCACAGUGGCUGUGGGAGGCAGGGGCCUGGCUGUUAUGGACCCUGGAGCCAGGAUCCCCCCACGGCCUGUGGGCCUCAGAGCCUGGAUUCUUGCACUGAGCUGAGGGUCGCCUCCUCAGAGAGCCGAACGGCUGCCACCUGGCGC
Molecule: small RNA, 588 nt
Filed under: Pongo abelii (Sumatran orangutan)
Lineage: Eukaryota; Metazoa; Chordata; Mammalia; Primates; Hominidae
Description: retained intron
Source: RNAcentral